GCGAGACUUGCACUGGGGAGCUGGAGGAGCUGCUGGGAGGUAAGUAAACGCUUGCUACGGGCCCCCCAUUACUGCCGGGUUUGUAAUGAGAUAUCGGUAUCUCAAUUGGCCGAUACGAUAUUGCCGAAAAUACCGAAUAUCGGCCGAUUAUAUUGGUCGAUCCCCAAGUCUGACAACAGCGCGACGGUGGCAUAUAUCAACAGUCGGGGAGGUACAAGAAUCAAAGACCUGCACAUUCUUUGUGGGGAGAUUAUGAUGUGGUCCUUGAAUCUAUUUGAGCAGUCCACAUAAAAGGCGAACAAAAUGUGGUAGCAGACGACCUCAGCAGGAACAAAUGGU
Non-coding RNA from Pelobates cultripes (western spadefoot toad), 339 nucleotides. Lineage: Eukaryota; Metazoa; Chordata; Amphibia; Anura; Pelobatidae. The record is from the annotation of a GenBank genome assembly.